AUGUGACCUCAAAUCAGGUAGGAUUACCCGCUGAAC
RNAcentral lists this ribosomal RNA (36 nucleotides) under uncultured Cortinarius. Its description in RNAcentral is "partial 28S ribosomal RNA". Lineage: Eukaryota; Fungi; Basidiomycota; Agaricomycetes; Agaricales; Cortinariaceae. The record is from RNAcentral.